This 253-nucleotide ribosomal RNA is filed under the name uncultured bacterium. RNAcentral describes it as "partial 16S ribosomal RNA". It matches the Rfam family "Bacterial small subunit ribosomal RNA", at positions 524 to 776 of the family's 1533-position model. The record is from RNAcentral.
GACGUAGGGCGCGAGCGUUGUCCGGAUUUAUUGGGCGUAAAGAGCUCGUAGGCGGCUCAUUGCGUCAACCGUGAAAACCAGCAGCUCAACUGUUGGCUUGCGGUUGAUACGGGUGGGCUGGAGUUCGGUAGGGGAGACUGGAAUUCCUGGUGUAGCGGUGAAAUGCGCAGAUAUCAGGAGGAACACCGGUGGCGAAGGCGGGUCUCUGGGCAUUACCUGACGCUGAGGCGCGAAAGCUAGGGGAGCGAACGGG